RNAcentral lists this transfer RNA (69 nucleotides) under Idiocranium cf. russeli BMNH 2008.409. RNAcentral describes it as "tRNA-Glu". It matches the Rfam family "tRNA". Rfam says of the family: Transfer RNA (tRNA) molecules are approximately 80 nucleotides in length. Their secondary structure includes four short double-helical elements and three loops (D, anti-codon, and T loops). The record is from RNAcentral. Lineage: Eukaryota; Metazoa; Chordata; Amphibia; Gymnophiona; Indotyphlidae.
GUUUUUAUAGUUGAAUUACAACAAUGGUUUUUCAGAUUGUUAGUCUUGGUUAAAGUCCGAGUAAAAAUU